This 431-nucleotide ribosomal RNA is filed under the name uncultured bacterium. RNAcentral describes it as "partial 16S ribosomal RNA". It matches the Rfam family "Bacterial small subunit ribosomal RNA", at positions 29 to 507 of the family's 1533-position model. The record is from RNAcentral.
AACGAACGCUGGCGGCAUGCCUAACACAUGCCAGUCGAACGAGACCUUCGGGUCUAGUGGCGCACGGGUGCGUAACGCGUGGGAACCUGCCCUUAGGUUCGGAAUAACUCCCCGAAAGGGGUGCUAAUACCGGAUAAUGUCUUCGGACCAAAGAUUUAUCGCCUUUGGAUGUGCCCGCGUUGGAUUAGCUAGUUGGUAGAGUAAAAGCCUACGAAGGCGACGAUCCAUAGCUGGUCUGAGGAUGAUCAGCCACACUGGGACUGAGACACGGCCCAGACUCCUACGGGAGGCAGCAGUGGGGAAUAUUGGACAAUGGGCGAAAGCCUGAUCCAGCAAUGCCGCGUGAGUGAUGAAGGCCUUAGGGUUGUAAAGCUCUUUUACCCGGGAUGAUAAUGACAGUACCGGGAGAAUAAGCUCCGGCUAACUCCGUG